This 2045-nucleotide long non-coding RNA is filed under the name Malus domestica (apple). Its description in RNAcentral is "long non-coding RNA (MDOM_LNC010133)". Lineage: Eukaryota; Viridiplantae; Streptophyta; Magnoliopsida; Rosales; Rosaceae. The record is from RNAcentral.
UCAUUGGCCAUGUCGACUCUGGGAAGUCGACCACGACAGGUCACUUGAUCUACAAGCUUGGUGGUAUUGACAAGCGUGUUAUUGAGAGGUUCGAGAAGGAGGCUGCUGAGAUGAACAAGAGGUCAUUCAAGUAUGCCUGGGUGUUGGACAAGCUCAAGGCUGAGCGUGAACGUGGUAUUACCAUUGACAUUGCCCUGUGGAAGUUCGAGACCACCAAGUACUACUGCACUGUCAUUGAUGCUCCUGGACAUCGUGACUUUAUCAAGAACAUGAUUACUGGAACCUCACAGGCUGACUGUGCCAUUCUCAUCAUUGACUCUACCACCGGAGGUUUUGAAGCCGGUAUUUCCAAGGAUGGUCAGACCCGUGAGCAUGCUUUGCUUGCUUUUACUCUUGGCGUCAGGCAAAUGAUUUGCUGCUGCAACAAGGUGAGCCUUAUAUAUCUUGUGUCGAUUGUAUUUCAAAUUUUAUACGGUGUAUUGGUAUUUCAAUGUUUUUAUUUUGCAAUUAUAUAUCUAAUUUUGUACGGUGAUGAUAUUUCAAUUGGUAUUGGGUGUCAGCUGUUAUUGCUGUGAGUUCACAAGCAGUUUUAACUCACGUCACACAAUGUUAAUUAUUGUGUACAGAUGGAUGCCACCACUCCCAAGUACUCAAGGGCAAGGUAUGAUGAAAUUGUGAAGGAAGUGUCGUCCUAUCUCAAGAAGGUUGGCUACAACCCAGAUAAGAUCCCCUUUGUCCCCAUUUCUGGGUUCGAGGGUGACAACAUGAUUGAGAGGUCCACCAACCUUGACUGGUACAAGGGUCCCACCCUUCUUGAGGCUCUUGACCAGAUCAACGAGCCCAAGAGGCCCUCAGACAAGCCCCUCCGGCUUCCACUUCAGGAUGUGUACAAGAUUGGUGGUAUCGGUACCGUUCCUGUUGGACGUGUUGAGACUGGUGUCAUUAAGCCUGGUAUGGUUGUGACUUUUGGCCCAACUGGUCUGACUACUGAGGUCAAGUCUGUUGAGAUGCACCACGAAGCUAUGCAGGAGGCCCUUCCAGGUGAUAAUGUUGGAUUCAACGUUAAGAAUGUUGCUGUCAAGGAUCUCAAGCGUGGGUACGUUGCUUCCAACUCCAAGGAUGAUCCCGCAAAGGAGGCUGCCAACUUUAUCGCUCAGGUCAUCAUCAUGAACCACCCCGGCCAGAUUGGACAGGGAUAUGCUCCAGUUCUCGACUGUCACACCUCCCACAUUGCCGUCAAGUUUGCUGAGCUCGUUACAAAGAUCGACAGGCGAUCUGGCAAGGAGCUUGAGAAGGAGCCCAAGUUUUUGAAGAAUGGUGAUGCUGGAUUUGUGAAGAUGCUUCCCACCAAGCCCAUGGUUGUUGAGACCUUCUCUGAGUACCCACCGCUCGGACGUUUUGCUGUGAGGGACAUGCGCCAGACUGUUGCAGUUGGUGUCAUCAAGAGCGUUGAGAAGAAGGAUCCAACUGGAGCUAAGAUCACCAAGGCCGCAGCUAAGAAGAAGUGAACCGCACUGGUUCAACAGAUUUCCGCAGGCGAAAUCUUCUAUCAUCUUUAUAAUAAUAGUAGUCGUAAAAACUUCUCUAUUAGUAUUUCUUUGGAUUGCUGGUUGUGUAUUUUCGUGUCGGUGUCGUCGUUAGGCAUUCAUUCUCAGAACUGGGUGCUUGACCGGCGGUGGCGCUGCUAGUGUUUUCCUUUUAUGUCCUCUGUUGAGAGUCAAGGUGCUCUGGGUUCUUCCCGGAGCGGCUAAAAGCUUUUGCGACCUGGUUCUUGCUACUCUCGCUAUAAAAACAUAGUUUCUUUUAAAUAUCUUUUACUUCGCAUGUUCGCUUCUUCCAGUUGUUUUUUUAUAUGAAUUUGAAUCAGCUUGUGUUGUGGUAUACUUGUAUGAUCUCUGAUUCCCGAACUUCAAAAUCUCCGGCAAGCUCUGACUGCGGUGGAAGUGGUCGGUCUACGAUGUUUUUAUGUGGAAAUGUUAUAGAAUGUCUUUGUUCUUUGUUUAAGAUCAAUUUACAUGGAACGGUUUUGCUGUGGUUGUGACGGC